RNAcentral lists this long non-coding RNA (1411 nucleotides) under Oryctolagus cuniculus (rabbit). Its description in RNAcentral is "lncRNA (ENSOCUG00000033650.1)". Lineage: Eukaryota; Metazoa; Chordata; Mammalia; Lagomorpha; Leporidae. The record is from RNAcentral.
AUGUACCCGGUGGUUUUCAGCAAGGAAAUUGCUAAAUUUCCCAAAGGAAUUCCUUACUGUUGGGGAAACUUGGACAGCAAACUACAGGAAGUUCUGAGGAAGGAAGAAGGACACUGUGGAUCAUGGUGGAAGGCCCACGUGGAUGCAAAGCAGCAAGCACAGACACAGCACAUGACCCCAGGAGCUGAGAGCGGGAGACUGCAUCAGCGUUGGAGAGUGAGGUUCAAGGGCUCGGACUCCUGGCCCUCCCAGGCCGCGCUCCCAUGCUUGCACCGACGCCUGACUUCCGCCAGACUCAACUGCACCUGGCGGGCACUGGCACGACUUCCGUGCAGAGCGGGGAGUCCUGGGUGCGGCUCACCUGUACCUUCAACAACAGCGCCACGGGAGUCACCAGGCACCACUGGCUGAAACGGGGGCAAGCUGCUGAAGGAGGACAACCUGCAGGACCUGAGCACCGAGUUGAGUGAGUGCCGGCUGUGCCGAGGCGGUGGACCAGGUCUGCUCAGGGCUGUGGGCCAGUGGGCCAGCGUCUCAGCCCUGAUCCUGCUCCCAGGGGGCCCAGGACCUGGACCUCUGUCAAACACACAAGGUGCGACAAGGCCUCAGGACUCUGCUAAGGCCAGGUCCUAUCCAGAGUACCUGCUGGCCCCUCUCCUGCAUGGCAUGUUCAGUUGGUGGUCAGUGACAGGGCAGCACCCACCUUGCUGUGUGUCCUGCCUCUGUGGCUCCAGGCUCAGGUGUGUAACCUGCAUCUGCAGCCUAAGUGGAUGGGGCAGGUGUUCUCAUUGGUGGCCCGGCUGGGGGCACAGGUUGUGGUGUCAAGAACCUGGUGACCUCUGGGCCUCUGCUGUGGGCAUGGCGGGCCCUUGAGCUGGCUGUGUCCACCUCUCCUGGUACCCAGAUGCACCUCAGGGCUCUGGCAGCUGGCCUACCCGGCACAUCCCCAUGGUGGACAUAUAGAGCCCACUUCGGCUGGAGCAUACCUCUGCUGGGUGGGCCAUGGCACUGCCAAUCCCACCACUGAGAGCCUCCAGGGAGACAGCUGCCAUGUGGCCAGCACAGAGUCCCCAGGGUGUGGGGCAGUCCGGCAGGGCACGGGAUGGCACGCCAGCCCACACAUCCUCUGCACCCGGCCGGCAUCUGCAGGUGCAGGGACCUCUUGAACUUCUACCCUUGGAAACAGACCCCAGCAGGUAACACCUUGGUGGCCCAGCAGGACCACAGGUGGCGGGGGUGGGGGGGUGGGGGUAGGCUCCAACCUGCUGAGUGGCAGACUCCUCACUGCCCCUUCCUCACCCAUUCUGUGGGAGCCAGGGGAGGAGGCCAAGAUCACUGGGGUCCCUGGCUUCAGCCCCAGAGGCUGGGAAGAGGGGGAGACCCAGGGGCUGAGCCCUGUGGCCCUGGCACC